This 531-nucleotide ribosomal RNA is filed under the name uncultured bacterium. Its description in RNAcentral is "bacterial SSU rRNA". It matches the Rfam family "Bacterial small subunit ribosomal RNA", at positions 777 to 1305 of the family's 1533-position model. The record is from RNAcentral.
AAUAGAUACCCAGGUAGUCCACGCCCUAAACGAUGCAUAUUUGGUGUGGGUGAUUCAGUUCAUCCGUGCCGGAGCUAACGCGUUAAAUAUGCCGCCUGGGGAGUACAGUCGCAAGGCUGAAACUCAAAGGAAUUGACGGGGGCCCGCACAAGCGGUGGAGCAUGUGGUUCAAUUCGACGCAACGCGAAGAACCUUACCUGGGCUCGAACGGCCGGUCAACGGCAGUGGAAACACUGUUAUCCCGCAAGGGAGUCCGGUCGAGGUGCUGCAUGGCUGUCGUCAGCUCGUGUCGUGAGAUGUUGGGUUAAGUCCCGCAACGAGCGCAACCCUCGUCCUGUGUUGCCAUGGGAGCAAUCCCGGGAACUCGCAGGAGACCGCCAGCGAUAAGUUGGAGGAAGGUGGGGAUGACGUCAAGUCCUCAUGGCCUUUAUGUCCAGGGCUACACACGUGCUACAAUGGCCGGUACAAAGCGCUGCAAACCCGCGAGGGGGAGCCAAUCGCAAAAAACCGGUCUCAGUUCGGAUUGCAGGC